UCCCGGAUCGUCUAAUCGGCAGGACAAGUGGUUUUGGUCCACUUUGUAGGGGUUCGAGUCCUCUUCCGGGAGCCU
Molecule: transfer RNA, 75 nt
Filed under: [Actinomadura] parvosata subsp. kistnae
Lineage: Bacteria; Bacillati; Actinomycetota; Actinomycetes; Streptosporangiales; Streptosporangiaceae
Also listed under: 2 other names
Description: Nonomuraea sp. ATCC 55076 tRNA-Gln
Rfam family: tRNA
About the family: Transfer RNA (tRNA) molecules are approximately 80 nucleotides in length.
Source: RNAcentral